Molecule: ribosomal RNA, 484 nt
Filed under: uncultured bacterium
Lineage: Bacteria
Description: partial 16S ribosomal RNA
Rfam family: Bacterial small subunit ribosomal RNA
Source: RNAcentral
AUUGAACGCUGGCGGCAGGCCUAACACAUGCCAGUCGAGCGGAUGAAGGGAGCUUGCUCCUGGAUUCAGCGGCGGACGGGUGAGUAAUGCCUAGGAAUCUGCCUGGUAGUGGGGGAUAACGUCCGGAAACGGGCGCUAAUACCGCAUACGUCCUGAGGGAGAAAGUGGGGGAUCUUCGGACCUCACGCUAUCAGAUGAGCCUAGGUCGGAUUAGCUAGUUGGUGGGGUAAAGGCCUACCAAGGCGACGAUCCGUAACUGGUCUGAGAGGAUGAUCAGUCACACUGGAACUUAGACACGGUCCAGACUCCUACGGGAGGCAGCAGUGGGGAAUAUUGGACAAUGGGCGAAAGCCUGAUCCAGCCAUGCCGCGUGUGUGAAGAAGGUCUUCGGAUUGUAAAGCACUUUAAGUUGGGAGGAAGGGCAGUAAGUUAAUACCUUGCUGUUUUGACGUUACCAACAGAAUAAGCACCGGCUAACUUCGUG